UCAAAUAAUAUAAAAAAUAAUAUAUAUAUUGACAUGGAUUAAACAAAGAUAUAUAUUAUUCUAUGUUGUAUAAACAAAUUGGCAAAAUAGAGAUGGAAGAUAAAAAUAUGGUCAAAGUAAUAAGAGUCUAUGGUGGAUGCCUAGGAGCUUUAAGGCGAAGAAGGUCGUGGUAAGCUGCGAAAAGCUUGGGGGAUAAGCAAACAUUUAUUGAUCCCAAGAUUACCGAAUGGAGUAAUCCAGCUAGCAAGAUGCUAGCUAUCUAUUAUCUAAAUAAUAGAGGCGAUACC
This 287-nucleotide unclassified non-coding RNA is filed under the name uncultured Borreliella sp. RNAcentral's name for it is "partial 5S-23S intergenic spacer". The stretch from base 110 to 287 matches the Rfam family "Bacterial large subunit ribosomal RNA", at positions 1 to 186 of the family's 2925-position model. Lineage: Bacteria; Pseudomonadati; Spirochaetota; Spirochaetia; Spirochaetales; Borreliaceae. The record is from RNAcentral.